This 497-nucleotide ribosomal RNA is filed under the name uncultured bacterium. Its description in RNAcentral is "partial 16S ribosomal RNA". It matches the Rfam family "Bacterial small subunit ribosomal RNA", at positions 28 to 507 of the family's 1533-position model. The record is from RNAcentral.
GAUGAACGCUGGCGGCGUGCCUAAUACAUGCCAGUCGAGCGAACAGACGAGGAGCUUGCUCCUUCGACGUUAGCGGCGGACGGGUGAGUAACACGUAGGUAACCUACCUAUAAGACUGGGAUAGCUUCGGGAAACCGGAGCUAAUACCGGAUAAUAUUUCGAACCGCAUGGUUCGAUAGUGAAAGAUGGCUUUGCUAUCACUUAUAGAUGGACCUGCGCCGUAUUAGCUAGUUGGUAAGGUAACGGCUUACCAAGGCAACGAUACGUAGCCGACCUGAGAGGGUGAUCGGCCACACUGGAACUGAGACACGGUCCAGACUCCUACGGGAGGCAGCAGUAGGGAAUCUUCCGCAAUGGGCGAAAGCCUGACGGAGCAACGCCGCGUGAGUGAUGAAGGUCUUCGGAUCGUAAAACUCUGUUAUUAGGGAAGAACAAACGUGUAAGUAACUGUGCACGUCUUGACGGUACCUAAUCAGAAAGCCACGGCUAACUACGUG